AAAGCAGUACCAUUCUUCAUGGUGGUAUGAGGGAUAAGAUGCAUAUUUGAAUUAUCCUAUACAAGCACAAGAACGAAUAUAUGCUGCUAUAUACUUGAUUGAUUUGAAUAGAUGAAUGCAGACCGAGUGUAGGAAGUGGAGUGAGGAACAGGUCCAAACUCCAAAUUAAAGUAAAGGGACUAGAGGGAGGAAAAAAACAAAAGGGGACAUUUUACUGCAAUGGAAGAGAGCUGAAUGACAUAAGAAGAAGAAGUAGAAUAAGAAGAAGAAAAAAGUACUUUUCAGGUGAUAUGUAAAGAUAAGUAAUGGCAGUCAUCUUCAUUAUUCGAGCACGAGGCAUAUAAAAGACAGCAAUGAGGUUAAAACAGUUCCUCUCUCAGUUUAUUCCUUUUAGGACCACCAUUUGAUGCUUUUGUAAAAAAAGGGGAAGAGAUAGAUCAGAGAACGAACACAAGACUUGAGCUAUGGAGAGGCAAUGAACCUCUUAAUUUGGUUGAAGGUAUUGUACUUA
Rosa chinensis is the source of this 511-nucleotide long non-coding RNA. RefSeq lists it as uncharacterized. The transcript has 3 exons. The record is from RefSeq and is a predicted model, not a curated record. NCBI's taxonomy places the organism in Eukaryota, Viridiplantae, Streptophyta, Magnoliopsida, Rosales, Rosaceae.